UACGGGAGGCAGCAGUGGGGAAUAUUGCACAAUGGGCGAAAGCCUGAUGCAGCUAUGCCGCGUGUAUGAAGAAGGCCUUAGGGUUGUAAAGUACUUUCAUCGGGGAGGAAAAACAAAACUAAUAAUUUUAUUUCUUGACGUUACCCGAAAAAGAAGCACCGGCUAACUCCGUGCCAGCAGCCGCGGUAAUACGGAGGGUGCUAGCGUUAAUCAGAAUUACUGGGCGUAAAGAGCACGUAGGUGGUUUUUUUAAGUCAGAUGUGAAAUCCCUGGGCUUAACCUAGGAACUGCAUUUUGAAACUGAAAUCUAGAGUAUCGUAGAGGGAGGUAGAAUUCUAGGUGUAGCGGUGAAAUGCGUAGAUAUCUGGAGGAAUACCUGUGGCGAAAGCGGCCUCCUAAACGAAUACUGACACUGAGGUGCGAAAGCGUGGGGAGCAAACAGGGAUUAGACUACCCUGAGAGUCUGACCAGGCACACGGAGGGUAGAGG
This 489-nucleotide ribosomal RNA is filed under the name uncultured bacterium. RNAcentral describes it as "bacterial SSU rRNA". It matches the Rfam family "Bacterial small subunit ribosomal RNA", at positions 340 to 819 of the family's 1533-position model. The record is from RNAcentral.